Molecule: ribosomal RNA, 465 nt
Filed under: Vreelandella stevensii
Lineage: Bacteria; Pseudomonadati; Pseudomonadota; Gammaproteobacteria; Oceanospirillales; Halomonadaceae
Description: partial 16S ribosomal RNA
Rfam family: Bacterial small subunit ribosomal RNA
Source: RNAcentral
CCUACGGGCGGCAGCAGUGGGGAAUAUUGGACAAUGGGGGGAACCCUGAUCCAGCCAUGCCGCGUGUGUGAAGAAGGCCCUCGGGGUGUAAAGCACUUUCAGUGAGGAAGAACGCCUGGUGGUUAAUACCCAUCAGGAAAGACAUCACUCACAGAAGAAGCACCGGCUAACUCCGUGCCAGCAGCCGCGGUAAUACGGAGGGUGCGAGCGUUAAUCGGAAUUACUGGGCGUAAAGCGCGCGUAGGUGGCUUGAUAAGCCGGUUGUGAAAGCCCCGGGCUCAACCUGGGAACGGCAUCCGGAACUGUCAAGCUAGAGUGCAGGAGAGGAAGGUAGAAUUCCCGGUGUAGCGGUGAAAUGCGUAGAGAUCGGGAGGAAUACCAGUGGCGAAGGCGGCCUUCUGGACUGACACUGACACUGAGGUGCGAAAGCGUGGGUAGCAAACAGGAUUAGAUACCCGUGUAGUC